AAGUCGUAACAAGGUUUCCGUAGGUGAACCUGCGGAAGGAUCAUUAACACGUAUCCAAACGUUAACACCGGCCCCGUGAACAUUGAUUCCUGCUCUUGUAACCCGCGAAGCUUGCAAUCUCUGGUAAAUCAUAGCCCGGAAAGUACUUUUGAUUCAGAGACCUCUGGCCCGUGCGAAAAUUGGAACAGUUACAAUUCGAGCGGUAGUUCGAAACGCCUUGUUUCCCCAAGCAGUCAGUGUCUGAAGGUGUCAGUGAUUGUGCAAGGAUAACGCUUCACGAUUCUUGUAGACCGCACCUCGCGGGCAGGAGCUAGGCCAAAGGGUCCCCAUGCCCCCUUACAACCCCACAGUUAAAUGUGAAGCUCAAUGUAAUACAUUGGGUAAAAAACCGAACAACUGUUAACAAUGGAUAUCUUGGUUCUC
RNAcentral lists this unclassified non-coding RNA (423 nucleotides) under fungal sp. RNAcentral's name for it is "partial internal transcribed spacer region". The stretch from base 1 to 46 matches the Rfam family "Eukaryotic small subunit ribosomal RNA", at positions 1786 to 1831 of the family's 1831-position model. The record is from RNAcentral. Lineage: Eukaryota; Fungi.